UGGAGUUCCAGAAGGAGAGGAUAAAAUGCUGGUCUCACGCAGAACCAGCUUCUCUUAGAGUUCUGUUUCUGGAACGAGCCAUCACCCAGACCGGGACAGAACAUUUUAAAGAUACAUUCAUACAAACUCAAGCCUGGAACAAUGAUCGAAUGAGGGAAUCACUGGCUAAGUUUAUAAAGACCUCCAGUCCAGAGAUGAGACCAAAAACUUUCUUGCUGAAGGAGGGAUUCUAGUGUGUAUUUCACAGGAAAAUGCCACGGGCACUAUCUGAUGUGUGGAGACAUUUCACUGCAGCUAAUGUAGAAGGAAAAGCUGUGUACAUUUGCAAAUACUGUGCCAAAUCAUAUGCGAAGAAUGGUGGUUUCCAUCUGUUUGAUACUAUGGAUUA
This is a long non-coding RNA of Oncorhynchus masou masou (cherry salmon), 388 nucleotides long. RefSeq lists it as uncharacterized. NCBI's taxonomy places the organism in Eukaryota, Metazoa, Chordata, Actinopteri, Salmoniformes, Salmonidae. The transcript has 4 exons. The record is from RefSeq and is a predicted model, not a curated record.